CUGCAUGGCUGCCGUCAGCUCGUGUCGUGAGAUGUUGGUUAAGUCCCGCAACGAGCGCAACCCUCGUCCUUAGUUGCCAUCAUUAAGUUGGGCACUUUAAGGAACUGCCGGUGAUAAGCCGGAGGAAGGUGGGAUGACGUCAAGUCCUCAUGGCCCUUACAGGCUGGGCUACACACGUGCUACAAUGGCAUCUACAGUGGGCAGCUAUUCCGCAAGGAUGCGCUAAUCUCCAAAAGAUGUUUCAGUUCGGAUUGUCCUCUGCAACUCGAGGGCAUGAAGGCGGAAUCGCUAGUAAUCGCGGAUCAGCAUGCCGCGGUGAAUACGUUCCCAGGCCUU
RNAcentral lists this ribosomal RNA (336 nucleotides) under uncultured Porphyrobacter sp. Its description in RNAcentral is "bacterial SSU rRNA". It matches the Rfam family "Bacterial small subunit ribosomal RNA", at positions 1041 to 1382 of the family's 1533-position model. The record is from RNAcentral. Lineage: Bacteria; Pseudomonadati; Pseudomonadota; Alphaproteobacteria; Sphingomonadales; Erythrobacteraceae.